AAGAAGCAAGUAAAGAACUUGGUGAAGAACUGGAAGAUAAAGAAAAUGUUCAACUAGAAGAGAAAGAAAAAGUUUCACGCAAUAUCUUAGUGGAGUUGUCUCUUAUAAAACAAAACAAGUUGUUGUGGAGAAGACAUGUACUGAUUGUCUUCUAAUUAUUAUAUUGACAAUUGAAAUUUUGUCUCUUGAUGAGUUGGUGCAAUAUAUAUAUAUAUAAUGUCGCCAGCUGAGAGGAACACAGAGGACACCAAUGAUGAGGAUCUUAACCAAUGUCCAAGGGAAAGAAAGAGAGACAGUAUUGGUUACGAAGUUUCGUCAUUUUCUCUGUUAACUCCUACUCCUUCAAGUACCCAGAUGGAUGUUGAUGUUGCUUUGACUAUGGAGGUUGAAAAAAAAUGUUGAGGAAGAACUUGGUAGAGGGAAAAAGAACAAAAAGUUUAGCUGGCAGUUGAAAUCUCCCUUUGAUAAGGAGAGAAAAGUAGUAAGUUCCAAGGCAGACAAUAAAAAUACACCUUAAGAGUGCAGGUUGGGUGAAACAUACACUUGUAGGUUUAUUUUUCAUUAUACCUCUGAAGAUGAAAAAUUAAUGAAGAAAUUCACUGUAUGAUUGGGCAAGGAGAAGAGGCGAGGUCGCAAAAAAGAGUAAGUCUGUUAAUGUGUUUCACUACAUCCUUAACUUCUGCGGUUAUUACAAUAAUUUUAUAACUAACUAUCCCUAACAUAUAUAUUCAAGUUUAAUACUUAAGGACUACCUGUCCUUAAGUUUUGAACUUGGAAUUCCAAGUUAAGGACAGACAAUCCUUAAGUUCUAAACUUCAAUCUAUAAGUUAAAGACCAAGUGUCCUUAGCUUUUGAACUUCAUACUUAAACUUAAGGACAACAUGUCCUUAGCUUUUGAAUUUUGAAUUCAAACUUAAGGAUAGUCCUUAGCUUUGGAAUUUCUUAUUCAAAUUUAAGGACUGUCUGUCGUUAAAUUUUCAACAUGAAAGGCUAAGUUCAGGAUUAAAUUCUAACUUGAUAUGAUCAAAAUUUUCAGGGGACAGACUGAUUUAUAUGUUGAUGAUAUAGUGUCAGGAAAAAUUCAUACAAAUUGUAUCAUCAAAAAAUAAGUUAUUUUAUUACUGAUGGAUUUGUUUAUUGUUAGCCUUUUAUGAAGCAUAUUGACAUUGCGCUAUAUAUCUGAGAAAGAAGGAAUGCUACCACCCUCGCGGUCAUCCUUUUAAAUGCACUUCUUUUUUAUAACUACAUGGCCCUUGUGUAUAAGGAUUUUAGUGAAGAUGCUAGUGAUGAGUUUUGGUGUGCUACUGAUGACCAGUUGUUUCUAACACCAUAUGUGUCGGGGUACAGCAGUAGAUAUGGGAUUGCCUGGACUGAGGUUGAUAAAAUAUUUUUCCCAUGUCGCCUUCCUUCAGAAGAUGACAAAGCUGUGACACAUUUUCUGUUGGGAGCUUUGGACUUGAAUCUGAAAAAGAUUGAUGUAUAUGAUUCCAUAUACAGUGAGCCGUAUGAAGCUGGAAUGAACCAUAUGGUCACAUUUUCUGUUGGGAGUUUUGGACUUGAAUCUGAAAAAAAUUGAUGUAUAUGAUUUCAUAUACAGUGAGCCGUACGAAGCUAGAAUGAACUAUAUGGAAAUGUAUGCGCCCAUGAUCCCCCACAUGGUAAGGUUUGCACAGUUUGACAAGCAUCAUAAGUCUUUUGGGAAUAUCUUCAACAAGUUUGAUAUAUAAUAUCACCACACCAAACUGGAUCGUACGUAUUGUUAUUCGUUGUAGUAUUUAUACGAACUUAAUAUUUUGUUGUUUAAUUCAUUGCAUAUCUUUCUCUUAUUUUAGGACUGAUUGUGGUGCAUUUCUGGUCAAAUUUGUGGAGUUGUUGAUGAUUGGAAAGGACAUGCAGCAAUCAACCCGAAGAUACAAAAUACUUUCGAAAAGAACUUGCUGCAAAUCUUUAUGAUCAAAUUUAUGGAGUUGCUGAUGAUUGGAAAGGACGUGCAGCAAUUCCAACCCGAAGACGUAGAAGACUUUCGAAAAGAACUUGCUGCAGAUCUUUGGGCACGUGGUGAAUGGAAUAGAAACUCUGGUUACGAUACUCCACCAGAAAAUGUGGGUGAUGAUUAUGAAAGUGAUAAUGAAACUUUGUGUGAAAAGGAAUUGUAAAGAAAUUGUGGUGUUGUUUUGUAUGAAACUGCUGUAAAUGCUACGUGACCCCCUCUGAAUUCUGCCACUUUAGGAUACUUCUUAAAAUAGAUUGUAAAUUUGUGAAAAGGUACUUAUAUUUUGUUGGCAUAGCAUAAUUUUUGGUAAGUACUAUGCAAAAUUACAAUUGCAGAAGUAUAUAUCAAGGUAUAUUGUUAGUUAUAUCAUUAUUUUUUCUGGAGUCUUUAUUUGUCCAUUGAGUUUGUUAGUAUUAUUUUAUGAUCAGGUCCAAGAGAACUUCAAAUUCAAAGUUAAGGACCAAGUCCUUAACUUUUGAACAUGAAACACAAAGCUAAUGACUUGUUGCCCUUAAUAUUUUUGAGAAUGUAAUUCAAAUUUAUGGACUGGUUGUCCUUAACAUUUUGAAAAAUAUAACUCAUUCUGACUAAAGGAAUCAUGUAGAGUUAAAGACAAACAGUGCGUAGGUUUAUUUAUGGAAGUAUAAGUAAAACAUCUCAUGUUCUAAACUUUUGAAGUUGAUAUACAAAGUUAAGGACAUUAAGUCCUAAUGUUUUGAACAUGAGAUUAUAACUUAAGGACUUGAAAUUUAAAGUUAAGGACCCGUCAGUCCUAAUGUUUUGAACAUGGUACUAUUACUUAAGGACCCAAUGUCCUUAACUUUUUAACUUGAAAUUCAAAUUUAAGACCGACAGUCCUAAUGUUUUGAACAUGGUACUAUAACUUAAGGACCCAAUGUCCUUAACUCUUUAACUUGAAAUUCAAAGUUAAGGGCUGUUAGUCCUAAUGUUUGAAAUUGCAAGUUUAAUUUAGUGACUCAUGUUUGUAACUUUUAAUUGUUGAACUCUAAAGAAAUUAAAAGAUGUUAACAUGAUAGAAAUAUUAAAAAUCUAGACGUCCGCUAAUAUUAGAAUAAUAAUGAAUACAAUCUAUAGCAAAAACUUAAAAUUGUCAAUAAACACAAAUAGAUAUAUCUACUCUUCUUUAUGCUUUCUUGAAAAUGGAUGGAGUGGCGGAGAAUAUAUACAAGAUGUUCUAUUAUGACCAAUUCUUCUGCAACGACCACAUUUGUAUGUUAUUUUUGAUGGCCCGGUAGCAGGAAUAUGCAUUUUCUUUUGCCUUCUACCUGGUGGCACUUUGAAAUCUGGUGGCUUAACAAUUUUUGACUUAACACCCUCUGGUACAUUCCAAGAAUCAGUAUGUCUUACAGGAUGUAUUUGUCUUUCAUAUGUUUUCAGCCAAGAUUCCCUGAAGUACCAAUGCAAACAAAAGUCAGACUUCUUGAUGUUUCUCUUGUCGAUAGCUGCAAUUGCAUGUAUGCAUGGCAUUUCAUCAAAUUGAAAUUGAAAACAAUCACAUUUUCUUUUGUUUAAGUCCAUCAGGAAAGUUAUUCCUUCUUCUUCAACUCUAGAACGACAUGAAUCAACGGGGAAGACCUUCAAUGUUGAAAAAUUAUAAGUCAGUACAUUAUGUUAAAUUAUCUUAAAACCAAUUGCACUUACAAUUUAAAGUUAAGGACUGCAAAAUUUAUUCUUUUCUUCAAUUCCUCCUCUACCCAACAAGAAACAUCAUAAAAUGUUCAUUCUGCUUUAUUUCUUCUUUCAUAAAACCAAUGUUGUAGCUUCACUUGAAUGAAAUAUAUCAUUCUUAGUAUGGGCAGCUCCCUUACUUCUAAUAGCACUGAAUUCAUCGACUCAAUUAUGUUUGUUGUGAGCAUGUCAUAUCUUCGUCGCGGAGUACAAGAACGUGCCUAUCUUUCCGGUUGUUCUUCCAUCAAGUAGUCAUAAGUUUUCUUAUCUACAUUUUCAAUAUUUGACAUGUAUAGGUCAAAUUCUUUAUGCUUGUAAACUCUUGAAGCACUUUGGAAAAGUUUUAUGACCUUACUUUUCCCCUUUCAUCGCUAUACGUUCUGCUCCAAAUGAUAGAUGCAAAUCCCAUGAUGGCUUUCAGGAUAUACCUUUGCAAUGCCAUUUUCAAUAGCUUGAUGCAUGUCUGAUAAAAAAAUCAAAUUCUCACGCCUCCUAAUUGCAUUGCGAAGCUGACCAAAGUACCACUCAUAGGAGUUGUUGUUUUCAGAUUCAGCUAUUCCAAAGGCUAAUGGGAAAAUUUGGUUAUUUGUAUCUUUUGAAACUGAAAUCAUUAAAACACCACUAUAUUUUGACUUCAAAAAAGUUGCAUCAACAGCAAUCAUUGGUUUACAAUGAUUCCAACCAGCUAUCGAUGAUCCAUAUGCAUAAAACAUAUAAACAAACUUGCAAAUUUAAUAUAAAACAAUAUUAAAAUACCUGAACUAUAGGACAGUCAGUCCUUAACUUAUAUUUACAAGUAACAAAGUUAAGGACAUGUUGUCCUUAACUUUUAUUUAGGAAAGUCAGUCCUUAACUUAUAUUUACAAGUAACAAAGUUAAGGACAUGUUGUCCUUAUCUUUUAUUUCAAAGUUCAAAACUAAAGAACUGAAGGUCCUUAACUUUUAAUUACAAGUUCAAAACUUAAGGAUAGGCAGUCCUCAACUUCUGGUAACAACUCAAGGUUAGAUAAAAUUUUCAUUAUAUAUUGUGUAUUAGUUUUAGUAAAUUAUUAGAAUGAGUAUUAAUUGCAAAUGUUACAUAAUCUUUUCAUGCAGUAAACAAAGAAGCUGGAGUGAGCUAAGAAGGUGGAGUGCAAUAUCAAGAGGAAACUGUAAUACAAUCUCAAGAGAUAGGCAGAAGUGAGAUUGGUUCCAAAUCUGUAGAUGUAAUAUAUGAAGAUGAUGAUAUAGCUGGAAUGAUCUUGGAGAUUGCAAAUGGUUAGAUAGGGCUUUUUAAAUUUCAUAUACCUUUGUUUUAAUAAAAGAUUAUCAAUAUGUUAAGCUCUUGUCAAUAUUUUUUCAGAAUCUUGUGAAGAAGCAAGUAAAGAACUUGGUGAAGAACUGGAAGAUAAAGAAAAUGUUCAACUAGAAGAGAAAGAAAAAGUUUCACGCAAUAUCUUAGUGGAGUUGUCUCUUAUAAAACAAAACAAGUUGUUGUGGAGAAGACAUGUACUGAUUGUCUUCUAAUUAUUAUAUUGACAAUUGAAAUUUUGUCUCUUGAUGAGUUGGUGCAAUAUAUAUAUAUAUAAUGUCGCCAGCUGAGAGGAACACAGAGGACACCAAUGAUGAGGAUCUUAACCAAUGUCCAAGGGAAUAAUGUCGCCAGCAGAGGGGAACACAGAGGACACCAAUGAUGAGGAUCUUAACCAAUGUCCAAGGAAAAGAAAGAGAGACAGUAUUGGUUAUGAAGUUCCGUCAUUUUCUCUGUUAACUCCUACUCCUCCAAGUACCCAGAUGGAUGUUGAUGUUGCUUUGACUAUGGAGGUUGAAAAAAAUGUUGAGGAAGAACUUGGUAGAGGGAAAAAGAACAAAAAGUUUAGCUGCCAGUUGAAAUCUCCCUUUGAUAAGGAGAGAAAAGUAGUAAGUUCCAAGGCGGACAAUAAAAAUACACCUUAAGAGUGCAGGUUGGGUAAAAGAAACAUACACUUGUAGGUUUAUUUUUCAUUAUACCUCUGAAGAUGAAAAAUUAAUGAAGAAAUUCACUGUAUGAUUGGGCAAGGAGAAGAGGCGAGGUCGCAAAAAAGAGUAAGUCUGUUAAUGUGUUUCACUACAUCCUUAACUUCUGCGGUUAUUACAAUAAUUUUAUAACUAACUAUCCCUAACAUAUAUAUUCAAGUUUAAUACUUAAGGACUACCUGUCCUUAAGUUUUGAACUUGGAAUUCCAAGUUAAGGACAGACAAUCCUUAAGUUCUAAACUUCAAUCUAUAAGUUAAAGACCAAGUGUCCUUAGCUUUUGAACUUCAUA
RNAcentral lists this long non-coding RNA (5967 nucleotides) under Nicotiana benthamiana. RNAcentral's name for it is "long non-coding RNA (NBEN_LNC012503)". Lineage: Eukaryota; Viridiplantae; Streptophyta; Magnoliopsida; Solanales; Solanaceae. The record is from RNAcentral.